GAUGAACGCUGGCGGCGUGCCUAAUACAUGCAAGUCGAGCGAACAGAUGAGGAGCUUGCUCCUCUGACGUUAGCGGCGGACGGGUGAGUAACACGUGGAUAACCUCCCUAUAAGACUGGGAUAACUUCGGGAAACCGGAGCUAAUACCGGAUAAUAUAUUGAACCGCAUGGUUCAAUAGUGAAAGACGGUUUUGCUGUCACUUAUAGAUGGAUCCGCGCCGCAUUAGCUAGUUGGGAAGGUAACGGCUUACCAAGGCAACGAUGCGUAGCCGACCUGAGAGGGUGAUCGGCGACACUGGAACUGAGACACGGUCCAGACUCCUACGGGAGGCAGCAGUAGGGAAUCUCCCGCAAUGGGCGAAAGCCUGACGGAGCAACGCCGCGUGAGUGAUGAAGGUCUUCGGAUCGUAAAACUCUGUUACUAGGGAAGAACAAAUGUGUAAGUAACUAUGCACGUCUUGACGGUACCUAAUCAGAAAGCCACGGCUAACUACGUG
RNAcentral lists this ribosomal RNA (497 nucleotides) under uncultured bacterium. RNAcentral describes it as "partial 16S ribosomal RNA". It matches the Rfam family "Bacterial small subunit ribosomal RNA", at positions 28 to 507 of the family's 1533-position model. The record is from RNAcentral.